RNAcentral lists this ribosomal RNA (482 nucleotides) under uncultured bacterium. Its description in RNAcentral is "partial 16S ribosomal RNA". It matches the Rfam family "Bacterial small subunit ribosomal RNA", at positions 29 to 506 of the family's 1533-position model. The record is from RNAcentral.
UUGAACGCUGGCGGCAUGCUUUACACAUGCAAGUCGAACGGCAGCGCGGGCUUCGGCCUGGCGGCGAGUGGCGAACGGGUGAGUAAUGCGUCGGAACGUGCCCAGUAGUGGGGGAUAGCCCGGCGAAAGCCGGAUUAAUACCGCAUACGACCUGAGGGUGAAAGCGGGGGACCGAAAGGCCUCGCGCUAUUGGAGCGGCCGAUGUCGGAUUAGCUAGUUGGUGGGGUAAAGGCUUACCAAGGCGACGAUCCGUAGCUGGUCUGAGAGGACGACCAGCCACACUGGGACUGAGACACGGCCCAGACUCCUACGGGAGGCAGCAGUGGGGAAUUUUGGACAAUGGGGGCAACCCUGAUCCAGCCAUGCCGCGUGCGGGAAGAAGGCCUUCGGGUUGUAAACCGCUUUUGUUCGGGAAGAAAUCCUCUGGGCUAAUACCCCGGGGGGAUGACGGUACCGGAAGAAUAAGCACCGGCUAACUACGU